ACGCCAGUAGUUCAAUUGGUAGAGCAACGGUCUCCAAAACCGUCUGUUGAGGGUUCGAGUCCUUCCUGGCGUGCCA
This 76-nucleotide transfer RNA is filed under the name Collinsella stercoris. RNAcentral describes it as "tRNA-Trp". It matches the Rfam family "tRNA". Rfam says of the family: Transfer RNA (tRNA) molecules are approximately 80 nucleotides in length. Their secondary structure includes four short double-helical elements and three loops (D, anti-codon, and T loops). Further hydrogen bonds mediate the characteristic L-shaped molecular structure. tRNAs have two regions of fundamental functional importance: the anti-codon, which is responsible for specific mRNA codon recognition, and the 3' end, to which the tRNAs corresponding amino acid is attached (by aminoacyl-tRNA synthetases). tRNAs cope with the degeneracy of the genetic code in two manners: having more than one tRNA (with a specific anti-codon) for a particular amino acid; and 'wobble' base-pairing, i.e. permitting non-standard base-pairing at the 3rd anti-codon position. Lineage: Bacteria; Bacillati; Actinomycetota; Coriobacteriia; Coriobacteriales; Coriobacteriaceae. RNAcentral also lists the same sequence under 8 other names. The record is from RNAcentral.